Molecule: ribosomal RNA, 492 nt
Filed under: uncultured bacterium
Lineage: Bacteria
Description: partial 16S ribosomal RNA
Rfam family: Bacterial small subunit ribosomal RNA
Source: RNAcentral
AGUGAACGCUGGCGGUAGGCUUAACACAUGCAAGUCGAACGGCAGCACCGUAAGAGCUUGCUCUUACGGGUGGCGAGUGGCGGACGGGUGAGGAAUAUAUCGGAAUCUACUUUUUCGUGGGGGAUAACGUAGGGAAACUUACGCUAAUACCGCAUACGACCUACGGGUGAAAGCAGGGGAUCUUCGGACCUUGCGCGAUUGAAUGAGCCGAUGUGGGAUUAGCUAGUUGGCGGGGUAAAGGCCCACCAAGGCGACGAUCCGUAGCUGGUCUGAGAGGAUGGUCAGCCACACUGGAACUGGGACAGGGUCCAGACUACUACGGGAGGCAGCAGUGGGGAAUGUUGGACAAUGGGGGCAAACCUGAUCCAGCCAGACCGCGUGGGUGAAGAAGGCCUUGGGGUUGUAAAGCCCUUUUGUUGGGAAAGAAAAGCAUCAGGUUAAUACCCCGCUGUUCUGACGGUACCCAAAGAAUAAGCACCGGCUAACUUCGUG